AAGCUUCAACACCCCACGGUCCCAAAUGGCUCACGCUGUCAGCCCAAGCCUUCUGGCAGAAUGAUAAGGACCAUACCGCCUGCCCCACGUACUCCCCAAAUUCUCCCUUGCUAAAGACACGGGAAGCCCAGCUCUAAGCCAACGCCAAGAGGGAUCACAUAAACCUUACGAAAGGCCCUUGCCGAAGAACCAAGAUGCUUGACUCACUCUCCUUAGGCACUGUAGACCCAGAAGGCCUAAAAAAAUAUUCCACAAACAACACCCUUGCCGAACGGCAAGGGCUAUGCAGAACCUAGGAAGGCGCUCGAAAAUUGUAUAGCCUCAAUGAUCUUGCCUAAAGCCUCCUUCGAAACCAGUCUUGCCGAAGCUCCUUG
RNAcentral lists this long non-coding RNA (374 nucleotides) under Prunus persica (peach). Its description in RNAcentral is "long non-coding RNA (PPER_LNC005989)". Lineage: Eukaryota; Viridiplantae; Streptophyta; Magnoliopsida; Rosales; Rosaceae. The record is from RNAcentral.